RNAcentral lists this ribosomal RNA (163 nucleotides) under Drosanthemum curtophyllum. RNAcentral's name for it is "5.8S ribosomal RNA". It matches the Rfam family "5.8S ribosomal RNA". From Rfam's summary of the family: 5.8S ribosomal RNA (5.8S rRNA) is a component of the large subunit of the eukaryotic ribosome. It is transcribed by RNA polymerase I as part of the 45S precursor that also contains 18S and 28S rRNA. Functionally, it is thought that 5.8S rRNA may be involved in ribosome translocation. Lineage: Eukaryota; Viridiplantae; Streptophyta; Magnoliopsida; Caryophyllales; Aizoaceae. The record is from RNAcentral.
UAAACGACUCUCGGCAACGGAUAUCUCGGCUCUCGCAUCGAUGAAGAACGUAGCGAAAUGCGAUACUUGGUGUGAAUUGCAGAAUCCCGUGAACCAUCGAGUCUUUGAACGCAAGUUGCGCCCGAAGCCUUCGGGCCGAGGGCACGUCUGCCUGGGCGUCACG